This 505-nucleotide ribosomal RNA is filed under the name uncultured bacterium. Its description in RNAcentral is "partial 16S ribosomal RNA". It matches the Rfam family "Bacterial small subunit ribosomal RNA", at positions 28 to 507 of the family's 1533-position model. The record is from RNAcentral.
GACGAACGCUGGCGGCGUGCCUAAUACAUGCAAGUAGAACGCACAGUUUAUACCGUAGCUUGCUACACCAUAAACUGUGAGUUGCGAACGGGUGAGUAACGCGUAGGUAACCUGCCUGGUAGCGGGGAAUAACUAUUGGAAACGAUAGCUAAUACCGCAUAAUAUUAAUUAUUGCAUGAUAAUUGAUUGAAAGAUGCAAUUGCAUCACUACCAGAUGGACCUGCGUUGUAUUAGCUAGUAGGUGAGGUAACGGCUCACCUAGGCGACGAUACAUAGCCGACCUGAGAGGGUGAUCGGCCACACUGGGACUGAGACACGGCCCAGACUCCUACGGGAGGCAGCAGUAGGGAAUCUUCGGCAAUGGACGAAAGUCUGACCGAGCAACGCCGCGUGAGUGAAGAAGGUUUUCGGAUCGUAAAGCUCUGUUGUAAGAGAAGAACGGGUGUGAGAGUGGAAAGUUCACACUGUGACGGUAUCUUACCAGAAAGGGACGGCUAACUACGUG